GAAAGGUGGCUUCGGCUAUCACUUACAGAUGGACCCGCGGCGCAUUAGCUAGUUGGUGAGGUAAUGGCUCACCAAGGCGACGAUGCGUAGCCGACCUGAGAGGGUGAUCGGCCACACUGGGACUGAGACACGGCCCAGACUCCUACGGGAGGCAGCAGUAGGGAAUCUUCCGCACUGGACGAAAGUCUGACGGAGCAACGCCGCGUGAGUGAAGAAGGUUUUCGGAUCGUAAAACUCUGUUGUUAGGGAAGAACAAGUGCCGUUCGAAUAGGUCGGCGCCUUGACGGUACCUAACCAGAAAGCCACGGCUAACUUCGUGCCAGCAGCCGCGGUAAUACGUAGGUGGCAAGCGUUGUCUGGAAUUAUUGGGCGUAAAGCGCGCGCAGGUGGUUUCUUAAGUUUGAUGUGAAAGCCCACGGCUCAACCGUGGAGGGUCAUUGGAAACUGGGGAACUUGAGUGCAGAAGAGGAAAGUGGAAUUCCAAGUGUAGCGGUGAAAUGCGUAGAUAUUUGGAGGAACCCCAGUGGCGAAGGCGACUUUCUGGUCUGUAACUGACACUGAGGCGCGAAAGCGUGGGGAGCAAACAGGAUUAGAUUCCCUGGUAGUUCCCGCCGUAAACGAUGAGUGCUAAGUGUUAGAGGGUCUCCGCCCUUUAGUGCUGCAGCUAACGCAU
This 673-nucleotide ribosomal RNA is filed under the name Rossellomorea marisflavi. RNAcentral describes it as "bacterial SSU rRNA". It matches the Rfam family "Bacterial small subunit ribosomal RNA", at positions 202 to 860 of the family's 1533-position model. Lineage: Bacteria; Bacillati; Bacillota; Bacilli; Caryophanales; Bacillaceae. The record is from RNAcentral.